UACGGAGGGUGCGAGCGUUGUCCGGAAUCAUUGGGCGUAAAGGGCGCGUAGGUGGCGGGACAAGCGUGCGGUGAAAGCUCGGGGCUCAACCCCGAGUCGGCCGUGCGAACUGUUUUGCUGGAGCACUGUAGAGGCAGGCGGAAUUCCGGGUGUAGCAGUGGAAUGCGUAGAGAUCCGGAAGAACACCGGUGGCGAAGGCGGCCUGCUGGGCAGUUGCUGACACUGAGGCGCGACAGCGUGGGGAGCAAACAGG
This 253-nucleotide ribosomal RNA is filed under the name uncultured bacterium. RNAcentral's name for it is "partial 16S ribosomal RNA". It matches the Rfam family "Bacterial small subunit ribosomal RNA", at positions 524 to 776 of the family's 1533-position model. The record is from RNAcentral.